GACGUAGGGGGCGAGCGUUGUCCGGAUUUAUUGGGCGUAAAGCGUGCGUAGGCGGCUGCGCAAGUCGGGUGUGAAACCCCGGGGCUCAACCCCGGAACUGCAUCCGAUACUGCGUGGCUAGAGGUAGGUAGGGGAAAGCGGAAUUCCUGGUGUAGAGGUGAAAUUCGUAGAUAUCAGGAGGAACACCAGUGGCGAAGGCGGCUUUCUGGACGAUAACUGACGCUGAGACGCGAAAGCGUGGGGAGCAAACAGG
Molecule: ribosomal RNA, 253 nt
Filed under: uncultured bacterium
Lineage: Bacteria
Description: partial 16S ribosomal RNA
Rfam family: Bacterial small subunit ribosomal RNA
Source: RNAcentral